UUUUCGUUUUUCUGUAUCCAACGUUUGACCAUUCGUCUUAUUUAAAAAAUUUAUACAAAAAUUUAAAAAAAUUAAUCACGCAUAAAAUACUAUUUAUAUUUUAUCAUCUAGUAAGAAUAAAAAUAUUAAUCGCAAAAAGUUUUCAAAUAAGACGAAUGAUUAAAUAUUGGAUAUGGAAAAAC
Molecule: microRNA precursor, 182 nt
Filed under: Oryza brachyantha (malo sina)
Lineage: Eukaryota; Viridiplantae; Streptophyta; Magnoliopsida; Poales; Poaceae
Description: MIR812 microRNA precursor family
Rfam family: MIR812 microRNA precursor family
Source: Rfam by way of RNAcentral